UUUUUCAGUCCAAUGCCACAUGUCAGCUUUCUAAUGGUCCAAUCACUCACACAUCAGCUAUAAAUACUGUUCACAGUGCCACAUAAUCCAGAUCCAUUCAUUGCAAUACACAUCACCAAAAACAGAUUCCCACUUUCUCUCUCUUUUCUGUUAGAUCAAAACAAAAAUUUCUCAAGAACACAAAGAACCCUAACCGAAAUUCAUCAUCAAUUCUCAGAGAUUCGUGUACGAAUCUUCAUCAUUAAAUCGAUUCCACCGCAAUACAAGGUGCGAAUUCCUCACCGGAAGUGAAGAACUCAAGCACCGAUCACGGUGGGAGAAGAAGAAGGGAAAAUCGAAUCUGUAC
RNAcentral lists this long non-coding RNA (346 nucleotides) under Medicago truncatula (barrel medic). RNAcentral describes it as "long non-coding RNA (MTRU_LNC005076)". The record is from RNAcentral. Lineage: Eukaryota; Viridiplantae; Streptophyta; Magnoliopsida; Fabales; Fabaceae.